GGAAUGACUACAAUUUAAAUCCUUUAAGAAGGAUCCAUUGGAGGGCAAGUCUGGUGCCAGCAGCCGCGGUAAUUCCAGCUCCAAUAGCGUAUAUUAAAGUUGCUGCAGUUAAAAAGCUCGUAGUUGGAUCUCAGUUACGGGCAGGUGGUUCACUUUACAGUGCUACUACCUGAACCGAACCUAUUGCUGGAUCUCUUGGGUGCCCUUCACUGGGUGCCCCUUGAGACCAGACUGUUUACUUUGAGAAAAUUAGAGUGCUCAAAGCAGGCGAAUGCCUGAAUAGUUGUGCAUGGAAUAAUGAAAUAUGGCCUCGGUACUGUUUUGUUGGUUCACGGUGCUCGAGGUAAUGGUUGAAAGGGACUGACGGGGGCAUUCGUAUUGCGACGUUAGAGGUGAAAUUCUUAGAUCGUCGCAAGACGGACUACUGCGAAAGCAUUUGCCAAGAAUGUCUUCAUUAAUCAAGAACGAAAGUCAGAGGUUCGAAGGCGAUCAGAUACCGCCCUAGUUCUGACCUUAAACGAUGCUAACUGGCGAUCCAGUGGGGGUAUUUAAAAUGACCUGCUGGGCAGCUUCUGGGAAACCAAAGUUUUUGGGUUCCGGGGGAAGUAUGGUUGCAAAGCUGGAACUUAAAGGAAUUGACGGAAGGGCACCACCAGGAGUGGAGCCUGUGGCUUAAUUUGACUCAACAC
This 689-nucleotide ribosomal RNA is filed under the name Candona sp. 35 IK-2020. RNAcentral's name for it is "SSU rRNA". It matches the Rfam family "Eukaryotic small subunit ribosomal RNA", at positions 511 to 1206 of the family's 1831-position model. The record is from RNAcentral. Lineage: Eukaryota; Metazoa; Arthropoda; Ostracoda; Podocopida; Candonidae.